This 680-nucleotide ribosomal RNA is filed under the name Micromonospora echinospora. RNAcentral's name for it is "bacterial SSU rRNA". It matches the Rfam family "Bacterial small subunit ribosomal RNA", at positions 56 to 755 of the family's 1533-position model. RNAcentral also lists the same sequence under 1 other name. Lineage: Bacteria; Bacillati; Actinomycetota; Actinomycetes; Micromonosporales; Micromonosporaceae. The record is from RNAcentral.
UGCAGUCGAGCGGAAAGGCCCUUCGGGGUACUCGAGCGGCGAACGGGUGAGUAACACGUGAGCAACCUGCCCCAGGCUUUGGGAUAACCCCGGGAAACCGGGGCUAAUACCGAAUAUGACCUCCGAUCGCAUGGUUGGUGGUGGAAAGUUUUUCGGCUUGGGAUGGGCUCGCGGCCUAUCAGCUUGUUGGUGGGGUGAUGGCCUACCAAGGCGACGACGGGUAGCCGGCCUGAGAGGGCGACCGGCCACACUGGGACUGAGACACGGCCCAGACUCCUACGGGAGGCAGCAGUGGGGAAUAUUGCACAAUGGGCGGAAGCCUGAUGCAGCGACGCCGCGUGAGGGAUGACGGCCUUCGGGUUGUAAACCUCUUUCAGCAGGGACGAAGCGUAAGUGACGGUACCUGCAGAAGAAGCGCCGGCCAACUACGUGCCAGCAGCCGCGGUAAGACGUAGGGCGCGAGCGUUGUCCGGAUUUAUUGGGCGUAAAGAGCUCGUAGGCGGCUUGUCGCGUCGACUGUGAAAACCCGCAGCUCAACUGCGGGCCUGCAGUCGAUACGGGCAGGCUAGAGUUCGGUAGGGGAGACUGGAAUUCCUGGUGUAGCGGUGAAAUGCGCAGAUAUCAGGAGGAACACCGGUGGCGAAGGCGGGUCUCUGGGCCGAUACUGACGCUGAGGAGCG